RNAcentral lists this ribosomal RNA (448 nucleotides) under uncultured bacterium. RNAcentral's name for it is "partial 16S ribosomal RNA". It matches the Rfam family "Bacterial small subunit ribosomal RNA", at positions 330 to 794 of the family's 1533-position model. The record is from RNAcentral.
GCCAGACUCCUACGGGAGGCAGCAGUGGGGAAUAUUGCACAAUGGGGGGAACCCUGAUGCAGCGACGCCGCGUGAGCGAUGGAGUACUUCGGUAUGUAAAGCUCUGUCAGCAGGGAAGAGAAUGACGGUACCUGACCAAGAAGCCCCGGCUAAAUACGUGCCAGCAGCCGCGGUAAUACGUAUGGGGCAAGCGUUAUCCGGAUUUACUGGGUGUAAAGGGAGCGUAGGCGGCAGGGCAAGCCUGAUGUGAAAGCCCGGGGCUCAACCCCGGGACUGCAUUGGGAACUGCCCCGCUCGAGUGCCGGAGGGGCAGGCGGAAUUCCUAGUGUAGCGGUGAAAUGCGUAGAUAUUAGGAGGAACACCAGUGGCGAAGGCGGCCUGCUGGACGGUGUACUGACGCUGAGGCUCGAAAGCGUGGGGAGCAAACAGGAUUAGAUACCCUAGUAGG